Molecule: ribosomal RNA, 398 nt
Filed under: uncultured bacterium
Lineage: Bacteria
Description: bacterial SSU rRNA
Rfam family: Bacterial small subunit ribosomal RNA
Source: RNAcentral
AUUGAACGCUGGCGGCAGGCCUAACACAUGCAAGUCGAACGGAAAGGCCCCUUCGGGGGUGCUCGAGUGGCGAACGGGUGAGUAACACGUGGGUGAUCUGCCCCUGACUUUGGGAUAAGCCUGAGAAAUUGGGUCUAAUACCGGAUAUGACCUGCCCUUGCAUGGGGGUGGGUGGAAAGCUUUUGCGGUCAGGGAUGGGCCCGCGGCCUAUCAGCUUGUUGGUGGGGUAAUGGCCUACCAAGGCGACGACGGGUAGCCGACCUGAGAGGGUGAUCGGCCACACUGGGACUGAGACACGGCCCAGACUCCUACGGGAGGCAGCAGUGGGGAAUAUUGCACAAUGGGCGCAAGCCUGAUGCAGCGACGCCGCGUGAGGGAUGACGGCCUCGGUGUAACGU